AGUAGACGUUCAGAGUUUGAUCCUGGCUCAGAACGAACGCUGGCGGCAGGCCUAACACAUGCAAGUCGAGCGCCCCGCAAGGGGAGCGGCGGACGGGUGAGUAACGCGUGGGAACGUACCCCUUUCUACGGAAUAGCCUCGGGAAACUGGGAGUAAUACCGUAUAAGCCCUACGGGGGAAAGAUUUAUCGGGAAGGGAUCGGCCCGCGUUGGAUUAGGUAGUUGGUGGGGUAAUGGCCUACCAAGCCGACGAUCCACAGCUGGUUUGAGAGGAUGAUCAGCCACACUGGGACUGAGACACGGCCCAG
RNAcentral lists this ribosomal RNA (307 nucleotides) under uncultured bacterium. Its description in RNAcentral is "partial 16S ribosomal RNA". It matches the Rfam family "Bacterial small subunit ribosomal RNA", at positions 1 to 334 of the family's 1533-position model. The record is from RNAcentral.